UCGCAUCUGUGCAUGCAGCAUAUCAAUAAGCGGAGGAAAAGAAACUAACAAGGAUUCCCCUAGUAACGGCGAGUGAAGCGGGAAGAGCUCAAAUUUGAAAUCUUAAAGGGUCUCCCUUUACGAAUUGUAGUUUAAAGAAGUGUUUUCUGUUGAGGUUUUGGUAAAAGUUCUUUGGAAUAGGACAUCAUAGAGGGUGAGAAUCCCGUAUUUGACCUUUACUUUCAACUUUGUGAUACACUUUCAAAGAGUCGGAUUGUUUGGGAAUGCAGUCCAAAAUGGGUGGUAAAUUUCAUCUAAAGCUAAAUAUUGGCGAGAGACCGAUAGCGAACAAGUACCGUGAGGGAAAGAUGAAAAGAACUUUGAAAAGAGAGUUAAACAGUACGUGAAAUUGUCAAAAGGGAAGCGUUUGACACCAGUGUUGUUUUUCUGAAAAUCAAUUAAAGAACUGUUUAUGCUAAGUUGCUUAGACUUUAUCAGCUAACUGUUUAGUUUUGAGCUUUUCUUUAAUGCACUUUUCAGUUAACAAGUCAACAUCAAUUUCUUUUGCUGUAAAAAAGCUUGAGGAAGGUGGCUUGAGAUUCGUCUUAAGUGUUUAUAGCCUCUUGCCUAUGCAGUCGGAGAGAUUGAGGUCUGCAGCGUAGAUCCUUCGGGGCUAAAUGCAUUUGUGCUAAGUUAUAACAUUUUAUAGACAACUUGUUGACUAUGAUUUGUCUUGUAGCUUACUCGCUUAUGUUAUUUUACCUACGCUUAGGAUGUUGAAUCUGUGCGAGACUAC
This 775-nucleotide ribosomal RNA is filed under the name uncultured Neocallimastigales. RNAcentral describes it as "partial large subunit ribosomal RNA". It matches the Rfam family "Eukaryotic large subunit ribosomal RNA", at positions 24 to 644 of the family's 3401-position model. Lineage: Eukaryota; Fungi; Neocallimastigomycota; Neocallimastigomycetes; Neocallimastigales. The record is from RNAcentral.